Molecule: transfer RNA, 73 nt
Filed under: Camelus bactrianus (Bactrian camel)
Lineage: Eukaryota; Metazoa; Chordata; Mammalia; Artiodactyla; Camelidae
Also listed under: 1 other name
Rfam family: tRNA
About the family: Transfer RNA (tRNA) molecules are approximately 80 nucleotides in length. Their secondary structure includes four short double-helical elements and three loops (D, anti-codon, and T loops).
Source: Rfam by way of RNAcentral
GGAGGUCUAGCUCAGUGGUUAGAGCACGUGCUUAGCACGCAUGAGGUCGCGGGUUCAAUCCCCAGUACCUCCA